RNAcentral lists this transfer RNA (87 nucleotides) under Deltaproteobacteria bacterium. RNAcentral's name for it is "tRNA-Leu". It matches the Rfam family "tRNA". Rfam says of the family: Transfer RNA (tRNA) molecules are approximately 80 nucleotides in length. Their secondary structure includes four short double-helical elements and three loops (D, anti-codon, and T loops). The record is from RNAcentral. Lineage: Bacteria; Pseudomonadati; Myxococcota; Myxococcia.
GCCGUAGUGGUGGAAUUGGUAGACACGCAUGGUUCAGGGUCAUGUGUCAGAAAUGAUGUGGGAGUUCGAGUCUCCCCUACGGCACCA